This 420-nucleotide ribosomal RNA is filed under the name bacterium. RNAcentral describes it as "partial 16S ribosomal RNA". It matches the Rfam family "Bacterial small subunit ribosomal RNA", at positions 355 to 776 of the family's 1533-position model. The record is from RNAcentral.
UGGGGGAUAUUGCACAAUGGGCGAAAGCCUGAUGCAGCGACGCCGCGUGGGGGAUGAAGGCUUUCGGGUUGUAAACCUCUUUCGCUAUCGAACAAGGCCCGCUUAGGGUGGGUUGAGGGUAGGUGGAGAAGAAGCGCCGGCUAACUACGUGCCAGCAGCCGCGGUAAUACGUAGGGCGCGAGCGUUGUCCGGAAUUAUUGGGCGUAAAGGGCUUGUAGGCGGCUUGUUGCGCCUGCUGUGAAAACGCGGGGCUUAACUUCGCGCGUGCAGUGGGUACGGGAAGGCUUGAGUGUGGUAGGGGUGACUGGAAUUCCAGGUGUAGCGGUGGAAUGCGAAGAUAUCUGGAGGAACACCGAUGGCGAAGGCAGGUCACUGGGCCAUUACUGACGCUGAGGAGCGAAAGCAUGGGUAGCGAACAGG